CCUACGGGAGGCAGCAGUGAGGAAUAUUGGUCAAUGGACGAGAGUCUGAACCAGCCAAGUAGCGUGAAGGAUGACUGCCCUAUGGGUUGUAAACUUCUUUUAUAUGGGAAUAAAAUGUUCCACGUGUGGGAUUUUGUAUGUACCAUAUGAAUAAGGAUCGGCUAACUCCGUGCCAGCAGCCGCGGUAAUACGGAGGAGCCGAGCGUUAUCCGGAUUUAUUGGGUUUAAAGGGAGCGUAGGUGGAUUGUUAAGUCAGUUGUGAAAGUUUGCGGCUCAACCGUAAAAUUGCAUUUGAAAAUGGCAGUCUUGAGUACAGUAGAGGUGGGCGGAAUUCGUGGUGUAGCGGUGAAAUGCUUAGAUAUCACGAAGAACUCCGAUUGCGAAGGCAGUUCACUGGACUGCAACUGACACUGAGGCUCGAAAGUGUGGGUAUCAAACAGGAUUAGAUACCCCAGUAGUC
This 460-nucleotide ribosomal RNA is filed under the name uncultured bacterium. RNAcentral's name for it is "partial 16S ribosomal RNA". It matches the Rfam family "Bacterial small subunit ribosomal RNA", at positions 338 to 795 of the family's 1533-position model. The record is from RNAcentral.